AUUGAACGCUGGCGGCAUGCUUUACACAUGCAAGUCGAACGGUAACAGGGUGCUUGCACCGCUGACGAGUGGCGAACGGGUGAGUAAUGCGUCGGAACGUGCCGAGUAGUGGGGGAUAACGCAGCGAAAGUUGUGCUAAUACCGCAUACGUACUGAGGUAGAAAGUGGGGGACCUUCGGGCCUCACGCUAUUCGAGCGGCCGACGUCUGAUUAGCUAGUAGGUGAGGUAAAGGCUCACCUAGGCGACGAUCAGUAGCGGGUCUGGGAGGAUGACCCGCCAAACUGGGACUGGGACACGGCCCAGACUCCUACGGGAGGCAGCAGUGGGGAAUUUUGGACAAUGGGCGAAAGCCUGAUCCAGCCAUGCCGCGUGUCUGAAGAAGGCCUUCGGGUUGUAAAGGACUUUUGUCAGGGAGGAAAUCCCUAGUGCUAAUAACACUGGGGGAUGACAGUACCUGAAGAAUAAGCACCGGCUAACUACGUGCCAGCCGCCGCAGUAA
Molecule: ribosomal RNA, 500 nt
Filed under: uncultured bacterium
Lineage: Bacteria
Description: partial 16S ribosomal RNA
Rfam family: Bacterial small subunit ribosomal RNA
Source: RNAcentral